UAGGGGUAGGGGUUGUUAAAGAUUUGGUAAAUUUUUCCUAAUCUUUUAU
Molecule: transfer RNA, 49 nt
Filed under: Dermatophagoides pteronyssinus (European house dust mite)
Lineage: Eukaryota; Metazoa; Arthropoda; Arachnida; Sarcoptiformes; Pyroglyphidae
Description: tRNA-Tyr
Source: RNAcentral